UGGGGAAUAUUGGACAAUGGGCGAAAGCCUGAUCCAGCCAUGCCGCGUGUGUGAAGAAGGUCUUCGGAUUGUAAAGCACUUUAAGUUGGGAGGAAGGGCAGUAAGCGAAUACCUUGCUGUUUUGACGUUACCGACAGAAUAAGCACCGGCUAACUCUGUGCCAGCAGCCGCGGUAAUACAGAGGGUGCAAGCGUUAAUCGGAAUUACUGGGCGUAAAGCGCGCGUAGGUGGUUCGUUAAGUUGAAUGUAAAAGCCCCGGGCUCAACCUGGGAAAUGCAUCCAAAACUGGCGAGCUAGAGUAGGGCAGAGGGUGGUGGAAUUUCCUGUGUAGCGGUGAAAUGCGUAGAUAUAGGAAGGAACACCAGUGGCGAAGGCGACCACCUGGGCUCAUACUGACACUGAGGUGCGAAAGCGUGGGGAGCAAACAGG
This 429-nucleotide ribosomal RNA is filed under the name Pseudomonadota bacterium. Its description in RNAcentral is "Proteobacteria bacterium partial 16S ribosomal RNA". It matches the Rfam family "Bacterial small subunit ribosomal RNA", at positions 355 to 776 of the family's 1533-position model. Lineage: Bacteria; Pseudomonadati; Pseudomonadota. The record is from RNAcentral.